This 73-nucleotide transfer RNA is filed under the name Marmota monax (woodchuck). RNAcentral describes it as "tRNA.Ala". It matches the Rfam family "tRNA". Rfam says of the family: Transfer RNA (tRNA) molecules are approximately 80 nucleotides in length. Their secondary structure includes four short double-helical elements and three loops (D, anti-codon, and T loops). Further hydrogen bonds mediate the characteristic L-shaped molecular structure. tRNAs have two regions of fundamental functional importance: the anti-codon, which is responsible for specific mRNA codon recognition, and the 3' end, to which the tRNAs corresponding amino acid is attached (by aminoacyl-tRNA synthetases). tRNAs cope with the degeneracy of the genetic code in two manners: having more than one tRNA (with a specific anti-codon) for a particular amino acid; and 'wobble' base-pairing, i.e. permitting non-standard base-pairing at the 3rd anti-codon position. The record is from RNAcentral. Lineage: Eukaryota; Metazoa; Chordata; Mammalia; Rodentia; Sciuridae.
AGUGUUGUAGCUCAGUGGUUGAGUACUUGCCUCGCAUGCAUGAAGCACUGGGUUCCAUUCUUAGACCACAUUA